AUUGAACGCUGGCGGCAUGCCUUACACAUGCAAGUCGAACGGCAGCAUGAUCUAGCUUGCUAGAUUGAUGGCGAGUGGCGAACGGGUGAGUAAUACAUCGGAACGUGCCCUGUAGUGGGGGAUAACUAGUCGAAAGAUUAGCUAAUACCGCAUACGACCUGAGGGUGAAAGUGGGGGACCGCAAGGCCUCAUGCUAUAGGAGCGGCCGAUGUCUGAUUAGCUAGUUGGUGAGGUAAAGGCUCACCAAGGCGACGAUCAGUAGCUGGUCUGAGAGGACGAUCAGCCACACUGGGACGGAAACCAGACCCAGCCUCCUAGGGGAGGCAACAGGGGGGAUUUUGAGAAAAGGGAGGAAGGCCGGUACCAGAAAGCGCGGGAGUGUAAAAGAGCCCUUAGGUUUGAAAAACAUUUUUGUCGGAAAAAAAAGGACUAUGUUUAAUACCGGGGGCAAAUGGGGGACCGGAAAGAAAAGGGGCCGCCAAAUGACG
RNAcentral lists this ribosomal RNA (488 nucleotides) under uncultured bacterium. RNAcentral's name for it is "partial 16S ribosomal RNA". It matches the Rfam family "Bacterial small subunit ribosomal RNA", at positions 29 to 505 of the family's 1533-position model. The record is from RNAcentral.